This 272-nucleotide ribosomal RNA is filed under the name uncultured bacterium. RNAcentral's name for it is "partial 16S ribosomal RNA". It matches the Rfam family "Bacterial small subunit ribosomal RNA", at positions 524 to 794 of the family's 1533-position model. The record is from RNAcentral.
UACGUAGGGAGCAAGCGUUGUCCGGAUUUAUUGGGCGUAAAGAGCUCGUAGGCGGCUUAGCAAGUCGGGUGUGAAACCUCCAGGCUCAACCUGGAGACGCCACUCGAUACUGCUAUGGCUUGAGUUCGGUAGGGGUAAGCGGAAUUCCUGGUGUAGCGGUGAAAUGCGCAGAUAUCAGGAGGAACACCGAUGGCGAAGGCAGCUUACUGGGCCGAUACUGACGCUGAGGAGCGAAAGCGUGGGGAGCGAUCCGGAUUAGAAACCCGAGUAGU